Molecule: unclassified non-coding RNA, 21 nt
Filed under: Mus musculus (house mouse)
Lineage: Eukaryota; Metazoa; Chordata; Mammalia; Rodentia; Muridae
Description: oocyte_clustered_small_RNA1679
Source: RNAcentral
CAGGAGCCACCUGGGAUAGAA